ACGCCGCGUGCGGGAUGAAGGCCUUCGGGUUGUAAACCGCUUUCAGCAGGGAAUAAGCGAAGUGAAGGUACCUGCAGAAGAAGCACCGGCUAACUAUGUGCCAGCAGCCGCGGUAAUACAUAGGGUGCAAGCGUUGUCCGGAAUUAUUGGGCGUAAAGAGCUCGUAGGUGGUUUGUUACGUCGGAUGUGAAAUGCAGGGGCUCAACCCCUGACUUGCAUCCGAUACGGGCAAGCUAGAGUUUGGUAGGGGAGACUGGAAUUCCUGGUGUAGCGGUGGAAUGCGCAGAUAUCAGGAGGAACACCGAUGGCGAAGGCAGGUCUCUGGGCCAAUACUGACACUGAGGAGCGAAAGCGUGGGGAGCGAACAGGAUUAGAUACCCUGGUAGUCCACGCCGUAAACGGUGGGCGCUAGUUGUGCGAACCUUCCACGGUUUGUGCGACGCAGCUAACGCAUUAAGCGCCCCGCCUGGGGAGUACGAUCGCAAGAUUAAAACUCAAAGGAAUUGACGGGGCCCCGCACAAGCAGCGGAGCAUGCGGCUUUAUUCGACGCAACGC
RNAcentral lists this ribosomal RNA (556 nucleotides) under uncultured bacterium. RNAcentral describes it as "bacterial SSU rRNA". It matches the Rfam family "Bacterial small subunit ribosomal RNA", at positions 394 to 962 of the family's 1533-position model. The record is from RNAcentral.